Molecule: ribosomal RNA, 517 nt
Filed under: Fusarium sp. HKB5
Lineage: Eukaryota; Fungi; Ascomycota; Sordariomycetes; Hypocreales; Nectriaceae
Description: eukaryotic LSU rRNA
Rfam family: 5.8S ribosomal RNA (bases 154-307)
Source: RNAcentral
UCAUUACCGAGUUUACACUCCCAACCCCUGUGAACAUACCUAUACGUUGCCUCGGCGGAUCAGCCCGCGCCCCGUAAAACGGGACGGCCCGCCCGAGGACCCCUAAACUCUGUUUUUAGUGGAACUUCUGAGUAAAACAAACAAAUAAAUCAAAACUUUCAACAACGGAUCUCUUGGUUCUGGCAUCGAUGAAGAACGCAGCAAAAUGCGAUAAGUAAUAUGAAUUGCAGAAUUCAGUGAAUCAUCGAAUCUUUGAACGCACAUUGCGCCCGCCAGUAUUCUGGCGGGCAUGCCUGUUCGAGCGUCAUUUCAACCCUCAAGCUCAGCUUGGUGUUGGGACUCGCGGUAACCCGCGUUCCCCAAAUCGAUUGGCGGUCACGUCGAGCUUCCAUAGCGUAGUAAUCAUACACCUCGUUACUGGUAAUCGUCGCGGCCACGCCGUAAAACCCCAACUUCUGAAUGUUGACCUCGGAUCAGGUAGGAAUACCCGCUGAACUUAAGCAUAUCAAUAAGCGGA